RNAcentral lists this ribosomal RNA (662 nucleotides) under uncultured Actinomycetes bacterium. RNAcentral's name for it is "bacterial SSU rRNA". It matches the Rfam family "Bacterial small subunit ribosomal RNA", at positions 232 to 885 of the family's 1533-position model. Lineage: Bacteria; Bacillati; Actinomycetota; Actinomycetes. The record is from RNAcentral.
CGCGGCCUAUCAGCUUGUUGGUGGGGUAAUGGCCUACCAAGGCAACGAUGGGUAGCUGGUCUGAGAGGAAGAUCAGCCACACUGGAACUGAGACACGGUCCAGACUCCUACGGGAGGCAGCAGUGGGGAAUUUUGCGCACUGGGCGAAAGCCUGACGCAGCAACGCCGCGUGAGUGAUGAAGGCUUUCGGGUCGCAAAGCUCUGUCAGGGGGGAAGAGACACCUGAAGGUUAAUAUCCUUUAGGCUUGACGGUACCCUCAAAGGAAGCACCGGCUAACUCCGUGCCAGCAGCCGCGGUAAUACGGAGGGUGCAAGCGUUGUUCGGAAUUAUUGGGCGUAAAGCGCGUGUAGGCGGUUUGUUAAGUCUGAUGUGAAAGCCCCGGGCUCAACCCGGGAAGUGCAUUGGAAACUGACGAACUUGAGUACGGGAGAGGGAAGUGGAAUUCCGAGUGUAGGAGUGAAAUCCGUAGAUAUUCGGAGGAACACCGGUGGCGAAGGCGGCUUCCUGGACCGAUACUGACGCUGAGACGCGAAAGCGUGGGGAGCAAACAGGAUUAGAUACCCUGGUAGUCCACGCCGUAAACGAUGGGUACUAGGUGUCGCGGGUAUUGACCCCUGCGGUGCCGAAGCUAACGCAUUAAGUACCCCGCCUGGGAGUACGG